Thalassophryne amazonica is the source of this 181-nucleotide long non-coding RNA. RefSeq lists it as uncharacterized. The transcript has 4 exons. The record is from RefSeq and is a predicted model, not a curated record. Lineage: Eukaryota; Metazoa; Chordata; Actinopteri; Batrachoidiformes; Batrachoididae.
AUGCACACACACACAAGCAGUGUUGGGCACGUUACUUUGAAAAAGUAAUUAGUUAUAGUUACUAGUUACUUCUCCCAAAAAGUAACUGAGUUACUAACUGAGUUACUCCACUAUAAAAGUAACUAGUUACCACUAAAAGUAACUAUUGCGUUACUUUUGCGUACCCGGAUGAUCCUAGGAG